RNAcentral lists this ribosomal RNA (253 nucleotides) under uncultured bacterium. RNAcentral's name for it is "partial 16S ribosomal RNA". It matches the Rfam family "Bacterial small subunit ribosomal RNA", at positions 524 to 776 of the family's 1533-position model. The record is from RNAcentral.
UACGGAGGGUCCAAGCGUUGUCCGGAAUCACUGGGUGUAAAGGGUGCGUAGGCGGACUCGUAAGUCAGGGGUGAAAGCCCGCGGCUCAACCGCGGAACUGCCUCUGAUACUGCGAGCCUUGAGUCCUGGAGGGGCUGGCGGAAUUCGUGGUGUAGCGGUGAAAUGCGUAGAUAUCACGAGGAACACCGGAGGUGUAGACGGCCAGCUGGACAGGUACUGACGCUGAGGCACGAAAGCGUGGGGAGCGAACAGG